This 465-nucleotide ribosomal RNA is filed under the name uncultured bacterium. RNAcentral describes it as "partial 16S ribosomal RNA". It matches the Rfam family "Bacterial small subunit ribosomal RNA", at positions 338 to 795 of the family's 1533-position model. The record is from RNAcentral.
CCUACGGGAGGCUGCAGUAGGGAAUCUUCCACAAUGGGCGAAAGCCUGAUGGAGCAACGCCGCGUGGGUGAAGAAGGUCUUCGGAUCGUAAAACCCUGUUGUUAGAGAAGCAAGUGCGGGAGCGUAACUGUUCACGUUUCGACGGUAUCUAACCAGAAAGCCACGGCUAAGUACGUGCCAGCAGCCGCGGUAAUACGUAGGUGGCAAGCGUUAUACGGAUUUAUGGGGCGUAAAGGGAACGCAGGCGGUCUUUUAAGUCUGAUGUGAAAGCCUUCGGCUUAACCGGAGUAGUGCAUUGGAAACGGGGAGAAUUGAGUGCAGAAGAGGAGAGUGGAACUCCAUGUGUAGCGGUGAAAUGCGUAGAUAUAUGGAAGAACACCAGGGGCGAAGGCGGCUCUCUGGUCUGUAACUGACGCUGAGGUUCGAAAGCGUGGGUAGCAAACAGGAUUAGAUACCCCAGUAGUC